Non-coding RNA from Salvelinus sp. IW2-2015, 2433 nucleotides. NCBI's taxonomy places the organism in Eukaryota, Metazoa, Chordata, Actinopteri, Salmoniformes, Salmonidae. The record is from RefSeq and is a predicted model, not a curated record.
GCACUGCCCUCAAACACAGGUGYAACACAAACGUCAAGUUCCUAGCCAGGCAGACAUAAUUUCUAGGUGAAGAAAGCCUACAGACCAUUUGAACAGUAAGAAAAGACGUCAUGCAGCACUCUAACGUCUGUUGGUCCUUGACGAUAUGGAUGGUCCAGCUGGUCUUGAUUGUUCUCACUGUUCAAGCUGAAAACUGCACCAAACCCAUAGGAGGGCCAAACAUGGUUUUGUCAGAUGCCUUCAUCACGCAAGAGACAUUUGUAGAUGGCGCAAAAGUCACUUUUCAGUGUGCAAUUGGAUAUGCCAAUACAGGACGGUCUCCUUCAGUCACCUGUACUGCUGGCGUGUGGAGUGAAGUGAAACUGACAUGCGAAAGGAAGUCGUGUGGCACCCCAGGAGAAGUGAUGAACGGCCAGUUUAAUCUCUCUGAGGGGAUCUUGUUUGGAGACAAGGCAGUUGCUACCUGUAACACUGGCUAUAUGCUUGUGGGCAGCGGUGUAAGGACCUGUAUGGAUGGAGGCUGGGAUGGCAGACUUCCUGUAUGUGAAGGUUGGUAAUCUGAAGGAGCAUGUCAAGUGAAAAUAACAUUAACAGUUCUGUGCAUGUGCUUGAAUCAUCUCUUCAUAACUGCUGUUGUGCUCUAAUCUGCAGUGYUGAAGUGUGMAAAGCCCCCAAACAUUGUCAACGGUGGGCCUGUUGUCCCACCUGAAGAUACGUAUGACUAUGGAAGUGUAGUGCAAUAUGGCUGUGAGAAGGAUUACACUCUGGUUGGAACUAAAUCCAUAUCCUGCCGUGAGAAUGGAGAAUUCCAGCCAGCUCCACCUGAGUGUAAAAUGGUCUCAUGUCCUCCUCCUGRUGUUGAGAAUGGCGUUCGGAUUGKAGGCCYUCCCCCKUAUACGRACAAGUCUUUUGUGAKGUAUGGGUGUAACGCUGGAUAUGAGAUGGUGGGACAAGACAGUCUGACCUGUGAAAUAGAAGGCUGGUCAGCUCUUUACCCUACAUGCGAAGAUCGUGUACCUGACGCCACUCAUACAACCCCAGACCCCAACAACAAUGCUGGGAAAAUAGGCAGUGUUGUAGGUGUACUUGUGCCAAGUCUUCUACUUUACCUCAGUCUCCUCCUGCUUCAUUGAGAAGGAAGGAGUCACAGUAAAAUGGCUGCUGUGAUGUCCCCUGAAUCUACCACCCUCCCAAACACCGGGAAUGAUUCAUAUGCUUUAAAAGGAAUCUCUAUUACACGAUGAUUAGAAACCUCCCGAUGAAUGUAUUGGUUCAUUUCCAUUUGGAAGCUUGUGCUUAAGGAGUGGCCUAACUUGAUUACUUGUAUGUUUCCAGUGUACUUCACAAAUCACUCCUAGUGUGAUCCUGAUUUAUCUCAUUGCAACAUUCUCAUGUUAAAAUUCACCCAUAUGUAUGGUCGCUGCUUUUCUGGGUGAACUUGCCUCACAAAGCCAGUUUUGCCACCUCUGGGGGGGGGGGGGGAGAAAUUGAAGGAAAUCAUAUCUGUUAAGAUAAGCAUUUGUAAUUUAGUUGAUGCUCUUAUCCAGAGCAACUUACAGUAGUGAGUGCAUACAUUUUCAUACAAGACCCACAGUAUAUGUGAUGCAGUUGGACACAAGGUCUUUAUAUGUAAGUCAUACCACCAAAGGCCACCACUGGUUUGAUAGACCAGGUUGCAGAUGUGUUGAACCUAUCCUAUAGCUCAUGAACAUCUGGUUCAAUGGGCUUUCACCAAGUUUUGCUCUAGUCAUUGAUAAGUCUUAAUUGUGUUGUGACGUGAAUCUGAAAAGCUUGGUUUUAUUAGGAUAACUCUUGGAACACCGGAGACAAUGAAUGAAUGCUAAAGGAAAUUAUGUUUUAUACUUAUUUUGUUAGUUAUUUGAGGGAUCAAGAACUCUUGCUCAUGAUCCAGCUUUGGAAUCUUUAUUUGAACUUAUAGCCUAUUUGUAUUGUUCUACUGUAGAUAAGCCAAAAAUAUUUAUUUUAAAUGUAAAUACGUUUUAAUGAAAAUGUUGCAAGAGUCUCUUCCAACAGGACCACUGGAUCAUGGUGUUCUAUAGGGAGGAAACCUGCAGCUCUGUAAUAAUCAGGCUCAGCUUAGUGCAUUUUGAAUGUUCAAAGUGCUCUGCAUUCUUCACUUUGCCUUAUCAAGGGAAAAUACCAAACAUUCUGCAGUUGUACCCUUUAUUUAUUUUGCAUUAUCUUGACAGACAUUUCCCUCUGCCCUUUUUAUUACAUUGCUUGGUUGACUCUUUUACAGGUUGUCCUGUUUUUUUCUUAAUGAAAGUAACAGAUGUAAUGUGUUGUGUGAGAUCUAAUAGCACUUGUUUUCAUAACACUAGGGGUUGCUUCAUAUGAAACCAGGUUCUUAUUUAGUAGGGCAAGAUUAGAAUGUUGCAAAUAAAAGUAUAAUAAAUAUUGGAGUUCAGUGUC